This 312-nucleotide ribosomal RNA is filed under the name uncultured Coriobacteriaceae bacterium. RNAcentral describes it as "bacterial SSU rRNA". It matches the Rfam family "Bacterial small subunit ribosomal RNA", at positions 28 to 339 of the family's 1533-position model. Lineage: Bacteria; Bacillati; Actinomycetota; Coriobacteriia; Coriobacteriales; Coriobacteriaceae. The record is from RNAcentral.
GAUGAACGCUGGCGGCGCGCUUAACACAUGCAAGUCGAACGGUUAAAGCACCUCCGGGUGUGCAUAAAGUGGCGAACGGCUGAGUAACACGUGGGCAACCUGCCCCCCGCACCGGGAUAGCCUCGGGAAACCGUGGGUAAUACCGGAUACUCCGCCACCCCCGCAUGGGGGAGGCGGGAAAGCGUAUACGGCGGGGGAUGGGCCCGCGGCCUGUUAGCUCGUUGGCGGGGUAACGGCCCACCAAGGCGAUUAUGGGUAGCCGGGUUGAGAGACCGACCGGCCAGAUUGGGACUGAGACACGGCCCAGACUCC